AGAGUUUGAUCAUGGCUCAGGAUGAACGCUAGCGGCAGGCUUAACACAUGCAAGUCGAGGGGCAUCACGAGUAGCAAUACUUGGUGGCGACCGGCGCAAGGGUGCGUAACGCGUGAGCAACAUGCCCGUAUCAGGGGGAUAAUCCAGGGAAACUUGGUCUAAUACCCCAUAGCAAUUGAAGGAGGCAUCUUCUUUGAUUUAAAGCUUUGGUGGAUACGGAUUGGCUCGCGUGACAUUAGCUAGAUGGUAAGGUAACGGCUUACCAUGGCUACGAUGUCUAGGGGUUCUGAGAGGAAGGUCCCCCACACUGGAACUGAGACACGGUCCAGACUCCUACGGGAGGCAGCAGUGAGGAAUAUUGGACAAUGGAUGGAAAUCUGAUCCAGCCAUGCCGCGUGCAGGAAGACGGCCCUAUGGGUUGUAAACUGCUUUUAUAUGGGAGCAAUAAGACCUACGUGUAGGUCGAUGAGAGUACCAUAUGAAUAAGCACCGGCUAACUCCGUGCCAGCAGCCGCGGUAAUACGGAGGGUGCAAGCGUUAUCCGGAUUUAUUGGGUUUAAAGGGUGCGUAGGCGGUUUGAUAAGUCAGCGGUGAAAUAUUUCAGCUUAACUGGAAGGGUGCCGUUGAUACUGUCGAGCUUGAAUUUAGUUGCUGUGGGUGGAAUGUGUGGUGUAGCGGUGAAAUGCAUAGAUAUCACACAGAAUAUCGAUUGCGAAGGCAGCUCACAAAGCUAAUAUUGACGCUGAUGCACGAAAGUGUGGGGAUCAAACAGGAUUAGAUACCCUGGUAGUCCACACUGUAAACGAUGAUAACUCGCUGUCGGCGAUACACAGUCGGUGGCCAAGCGAAAGCGGUAAGUUAUCCACCUGGGGAGUACGACCGCAAGGUUGAAACUCAAAGGAAUUGACGG
This 910-nucleotide ribosomal RNA is filed under the name methanogenic prokaryote enrichment culture B31_1_1. RNAcentral's name for it is "bacterial SSU rRNA". It matches the Rfam family "Bacterial small subunit ribosomal RNA", at positions 8 to 916 of the family's 1533-position model. The record is from RNAcentral.